This is a small RNA of 210 nucleotides. It matches the Rfam family "Burkholderia sRNA 11". From Rfam's summary of the family: Identified by RNA-seq, RACE and Northern blot. Strongly expressed in biofilm. The record is from Rfam.
AUCCCUUCGCUAAGGAGCUUCUUAUGCGAAAACUGACGGCUACUCUUAUAGUUAGCCUGAUAGGGUUGAUCGCGCUGUCCGUGUCGACCACGGCUGCCGCAUGUGGCGAUUCUUCGAACUCAAAUUAUUCGAGCCCGAAGUGACUGCCCGCCCGAAUGCGCUGAGUGCGCACAAAAAAAGGCCUUCAUCCGACGAUGAAGGCCUUUUACU